UUGACCUCGGAUCAGGUUAGAAUACCCGCUGAACUUAAGCAUAUCAAUAAGCNNNNNNNNNNNNNNNNNNNNNGAUUGCCUCAGUAACGGCGAGUGAAGCGGCAACAGCUCAAAUUUGAAAUCUGGCCCCAGGCCCGAGUUGUAAUUUGCAGAGGAUGCUUCCGGUGCGGCGCCGUCCAAGUCCCCUGGAACGGGGUGCCACAGAGGGUGAGAGCCCCGUCGGGUCGGCCGCCAAGCCUAUGUGAAGCUCCUUCGACGAGUCGAGUAGUUUGGGAAUGCUGCUCUAAAUGGGAGGUAGACCCCUUCUAAAGCUAAAUACCGGCCAGAGACCGAUAGCGCACAAGUAGAGUGAUCGAAAGAUGAAAAGCACUUUGAAAAGAGGGUUAAACAGUACGUGAAAUUGUUGAAAGGGAAGCGCUUGUGACCAGACGUGCGCCGGGCGUUCAGCGGGCGUUCUCGCCCGUGUACUCGCCCCGGCGCAGGCCAGCGUCGGUUCGGAUGGGUGGACAAAGGUGCUAGGAACGUGGCUCCCUCGGGAGUGUUAUAGCCUGGUGCGUCAUGCCCCCGUCCGGACCGAGGUUCGCGCUCUGCAAGGAC
This 597-nucleotide ribosomal RNA is filed under the name Menispora tortuosa. RNAcentral's name for it is "partial 28S ribosomal RNA". It matches the Rfam family "Eukaryotic large subunit ribosomal RNA", at positions 1 to 609 of the family's 3401-position model. The record is from RNAcentral. Lineage: Eukaryota; Fungi; Ascomycota; Sordariomycetes; Chaetosphaeriales; Chaetosphaeriaceae.